UAGUCAAUGCCGAAAGUUCAAGGCAUCAAGACAUGAAGAGGAAGAUCCAGUCCAAGCUAGAAGCAUUAGCUCACCCUGAAAUCCGGUGUAAUGAAGACUGGCUAGAGUUGCGGUUGAGUUGAAGAUGACGGCACGUUUGCUGCACUCCACAAAUAACAAAGAAAAACAAUUACAAGUAGGGGUCAGUACAACCACAAGUACUGAGUAGAUAUCAUCGGCCAACUCAAAAUAGAAAACAGUAUAUAUCAGAUAAUAUCAUAAAAUCAACUACAAUACUCAACAGGCGGCAUUUACAAUUACCAUAACCCUUGGUCACAACACCAAGCUCAUCAAUGAGGACUCACGCCUCCCCAUCAUACUCAUUUGGGAAAUAGGUUCAUUAAAUUGAGUAUAUUGACAUCUUUCAAGAUUCAUUAUCUUUAUUUCUCUUGUGUCGGUGCGUGACACUCCGCUCCCCUACUACUAUGUGUCAGAACGUGGCACUCCGAUCCCCUAAUUCUACGUGUCGGUUCGUGACACCCGAUCCCCUAAUACUACGUGUCGGUUCGUGACACCCGCUCCACUAAUCUCAUUCUAUUAAUUCAUCCAGCCUUCUUUUAUACCAAGGCAUCAUCAAUCUACCUCCACUAAUUCUCAUAAAAUUAGAGACCUCACGAGGUCUUAACUGGAGAACAAGUUUGGGAGAGGGUUCAAAGCUUUCCAAUUCCACUUUUCUUUCUACCCCUAAGAAAAAAGUUAACACUAGAACUAACUUAUUUUCAAAGAACUAGUUUGUUCAAAAAAUUUACCUGGAGUCAAAGGGUUGGGAACGUCGACCACUGUUGCUGCUGCACGACUCGGCGGAGAUGGAGGCGGCGCGACCUCCACCUGCUGAGGCCCGACUGCAAAUGGCGCGCAGAGAUGGAGCUGGCGGCGAAGAGAGGAGAUGGAGAAUGGAGAAGACGACGGAGGAGAUGGAGAAUGGAGAAGACGACGGCGGAGAUGAAGAUGAAGAAGAUGACGGCGGAGAGAGGAGAUGGAGAAUGCUGGUAGAGAGGAAUGAUGAGAGAGAGAGGGACGAUGACAGAGAGAGAGGGACGAUGAGAAAGAGAAAGGGAAGAAGGAGAUAGCUAUUUUUGGCUAGGGUUUUUUUUUUGUUUAAGAGAUCUCAUGAGAUCUCUCAUUUUUUAACUCUUUCAUUAAAUUAAAUUAUUAUUUUUAAUUUAGCAAGUACAGACCUCGUGAGGUCUCUAAUUUUAUGAGAAUUAGAUUAAAAAUUUAAAAAUUUGAAAUAAGUCAGGUAUAGGAAAAAAUAAAUUCAUUAAAUUGACCUCACGAGGUCUCUCCUAUAUUAAAAAAAAAUUAAAAGAUAUUAAUUCAAAUAGCGACCUCAUGAGGUCUCUUAUUAUAGACCUAUUUUUGAGGUCUCCUUUUCUAGGUCUCUUUUUGGCCUUUUUUUAGUAGUGAAAGAAACGUUACUUAUUUAAAAGUCUAGCAGUUUUUUGACACUAUCAAAUUUGAAUUGAAAUUUGCAAUGUAUGAAUGUAUCAACUUUCCAAUCAAGUUGUAAUGUGUCUGAAUUAGCUAGUUUUAUUAGUUAUAAAUAUUGCUUCUUUUGCUAUAAAGAGGAGUAUUGGUAGAGAUAAUAAUGAGAAAGUGAUAUUAUAUAGAAUUGGGUAAAAUAAAAUAAUGUGAUUGCCCCUUUUAAGAUAGACUUGAAUUUUUUGACACUAUUCAAAUUCGCAGUCCAAAAAAGGUCGACAAAAUUGCAUCUGAACUAUCUUAUAUUCUUUGUUAUACUUUUGAAUUAAAAAGACUCUUCAUUAUUAUUUUAAAAGAUCAUAAAUAUCAUCAAGAUUUAAUAAGAAUGAUUUAGCAAAUAACACGACACUAAUUUCGCCAUCUAUUGACUAGAUACCCACUAAAAUAAGGGUCUUUAAUUUGACCAAAUUUAUGACCCAACCCUAACCCGUUCAUACUAGACCCGACGCACAAAGAUUAAGAGGCAAAUAUCAUCUUUUUAUCAUAUUUUCACCAUUCGAUUUAAUGGAUUCUCAAUUUAGAAUGACUCUAUUUAUUCUUCUCACAAACACAUAUUGCUUAGAGGUGUCAAGUGAACGGGUUGAGUUGGAAUUGAUAAUGUUAAAAUGGGCUGAAGUAGAAAUUAGGUUGGGUCCUAACUUAGCCAAGUUUUCUUUCACUCAAAUGGACUUUAAAAUGGGCUAGGUCUUGACCCGCUCAAUUUGACAUGUUUAAUUUCAAUAAAUUUAAUAUAUAGUUAUUUAAGUUUUAAAUUUCAACUCAAGAUUUUCUUUAAAAAAAAAGAAGAAGUUACAAAUGAUAGAUAAAUCCUAGGAGAUAUAAAAUAGAUAGCAAUUUAUAUCUUCAAUAUUAGCACAUACAUUAAAAAAUCUUAAAACGAGUUAAAAUUUAAAAUUAAAUUAGGUUUAAUUGAACAUUCUCUUAAAAUUAGUUAAGUCUUGAAUGAGUUAAACUUAUACCAAAUUCAAAUUAUCUUGAAUUUAAUUUUUAAAAUUCUAAACGUAUUUGACAGAUUACUCGUAAUUGGUCUCAUUUUUGACAUCCCAACAAAACAAAUACUACUACAGAGCGAUAUCAAUGUCACGACCCAAAACGAGUCGUGAGUGACAACCAACACAUCUAAAACCCCAACAUAUACCAAUAGUUCAACUAUAAAUAAUAUCAAUAAUGCGGAAGCUCCAAAAGAUACUAAGCAACCAAUUUAAAUAAGUUUCUAAGGUUUAAUACUUAUCAUCCCAAAAUCUGAUAGUCAUCACAUCAAGGACAUCUAAUCUCCAAUACUAAGCCUAAGAAUAUCGAAUACACUAAAAUAAAGAAUAAAAUGGUAUGUGUCCGAAAGCAUAGGACAUCAUGUUAUGACCGAGAGAAUCCAACACGAGCUAGAAAUAAUAGCUCACCCUGAACUCUGAUGUGCUGGAGACUGGCUAGAGCUGAGGGCGAGUCGAAGUCGAUGGUACACUUGCUGCACUCCACAAAAUAACAAAGAAGAAAAUACAAGUAGAGGUCAGUACAAUGAACACGUACUGAGUAGGUAUCAUCGGCCAACUCAAAAUAGAAAUCAAUAUAUAUUGAAUAAUAAUAUAAAAUCAACUACAAUACUUAACAGGUGGCAAGCAACAAACACAUGAACCAUUGACAACAACACCAUAACAGGUACACCAUCAAUCAGCAAAUCAAACACACCUAUGAGGACUCAUGCCUCCACACCAUACUCAUUUGAAAGAUAGGUUCUUUGAGGUUGAGUAUAUUAAGUCACUUCAAGAUUCCCUUCCUUUAAUGUUAUUAUGUCGGAACGUGACACUCCGAUCCCAUAUACCGUGUCGAAACGUGACACUCCGAUCCCUUAAUAUCGUGUCGGAACGUGACACUCCGAUCCAAUUAUCUUAUAAUUUUAUUUCAUCAAGCCUUCUUUAUUCAAGGCGUACUUUUAAUAGAGAGGGUUCAAGAUUAGAAAUUCAACAGUCUCAUAAUUUUAGGCCAACCACAAACCACACAAUCAAAACAUACAGCCACACAAUCAAGUAAAUAGGAGACUUUACAAUAUCACUCAAUACAUAUCAAUCGCUAUUUAGAGUUUAUCUAUCAAAUAAAAUUAAACCAUAACCUACCUCCACCGAAGAACCGAAGUCAAGCAACUACUUCUCCAAUGCCUUUCCUUUUCUUAUUGCCUCCGAACCCUUCCAAUCUAUCAAGUAUAUAAUAUACAUAAGGUGUAAGUUAACAAGACCAUAAACACUCCGAUUAUUCUGUGUCUAGCCUAUACUCAUCAAUUCACCUAAUUCUAUAAUCAAUUUCCUAAAUUUUAAACUUAAGGUAAGUUCUAUUUCCUCUCAUUAGCAUAACUUUAAUGUAAUUCAUAUAAUAUACUACACCUUAUAUUUAAUUACCUAUCUCAAUAUAUCAAAAUAUAAUCUAUAAUAUAAUAACAACAUUAAAAUUUUUAAAAGUUAAAGCCACUGGUUAAGGUACCAGUGGCAGCGAACACUUCACAAUAUACCCACCCCUUUAUAUUCCAAUUCUUAAAAAUGAAAUUCAGUUAUUUUCUUGCAGCUUCAUCGAUCCAGCUUCUAACACAAGGCGAACCUACCUUGGAUUAUUUUCCAUUAACUUCACGUGAGAACAGGGAGGAAAUAUGUACCUACGAAUUCGCAUGAAAAUUGUAUCAAUUUUUUCUUUGUUCUAAAAUUUAAAUUGGCAGAACAUUUAAACCUUUACAUUGUCAUACCUUACACCUUCUUUUAAUUAAUCAUCACAAUAUAACAAUUUUUCCAAUCCCAACAUGCUGCUCCCUCUUCUCUAUUUUAUUAUUUUAUUUUACAAAACAAACAUUUCCAUCCAAUUUUAUAAUAUUAAUCAAAAGAGACCAAUAAUUAAUCUACAGAAAUCUAACUCCUUAGAUUCAAAACAGAACUCCCGUUCUUCCCUUUCUAAUUAACAAUAUAUUAGGCUGCUAGUAAUAUUACUCUCUAUUAGAAAUCACCAUUACAUGUAACAAAAGAAUAAAAAUUUCAAGAACCUUAAUUCAUAACACACUAAAGUCAAUUUUCUUUUAUGUAACAUGUAACUGCUGCUAAAAUGUUGCAGGCAGCAACAUCAUACAGCCGCCACGUAGUCACAAUUUGCCCAUAUCCCCCUUUUCCCAUUUAAUUAGUAUAAUAUUCUAUCAUGGCUAAAAUAUCAACAUAUAUCCCUAUCAUCAAUACAUAUGUAUAGCGCAAUAUUAAGCUGGUCGAGUUUUACCUGAAGGCCCACUUUACGAUCUUCUUCGCAAUCCUUCUGCCCCUCUCUGAUUUUCUUACUUUCCUCCAGAGAUAAAUUAUACCUAAUUUCUAUAUAGGACUAAUUAUAUAAAUAAUGAAAAGUGUCCAUCACUAAUUGUUAAGUUAUUUUCUUUAACUAUCAAUUAAAUAAAUUAUUAAAAUUAUCCCACUAAUUUCAUAAUUAUAAUUAUGAAUAGUCCAAAAUACCAAUUUAAAAUUUAGCGAAAAGUAUUUAUCAAAAAUAAUUCUACUACUCAAAUCAAAUCGACUAAAUGAGUUGUUACAAUCAAUAAGUUUUAUUAUGUCUUUUUCAAAGGAAACAAACUCCUAAAUCAAGUGCAAAAGCCAAGUUGGUGGGGUCUACUGAAUUGAAUGCUGAAAUCAGAUGAAAAGAUGAUGUUUGCCCCUUAAUUUUAAGAGCAACUUUCACAUAUAUAGCAAAUAAAAAAUUUAUAUUUGUAUGCUAUAGUUUUUUGCAUAAUUGCGCUCUAUAGCAAACAUAGAAAUUGUAUAAUUCGCUAUACAUAUACAGUUGAAGCAAAUUAUAUAAAACAAAGUGUAUAAAACAUGAAAGAGAAAGACACUUGGGUAGAAAACUGUAUAAAAUGAAGUGUAUAAAACAAAUUGUAUUAUUAUAUGUGUAUAGAAUGAUUAUAUACAAUUUGAAUUUAUAUAAAAUGAGAAAGCGAGAAAGACAAAAGAGACUUGACAAGGAAUAUACAAUUAAUCGAACUGUAUAAAACGAGAAAGAGAGAAAUUAGAUACAAUUUGAAAAUUGUAUAAAACGAGAAAGAGAUAAAGACAAAAGAAACUAGGCAGGGAAGUAUUUUUAUUGUACUAUUAUAAGUGUCUAGGACGAGAAUAUAUGUACUAGCAUGUGUAUGUACAAUUUUCUCACGCUUUAUACAAAGAGAAACACAAUGUAAACAUUUCGCUUCUGUUUGUAUAAGUGAGAAAGACGAUGGUGGUGAGUGAGAUUUAGGAGAGUGGCGAGUGAGAUCUGAAAGAGGGGAGAGAGGGAACAAAAAUAUGUGUAUUUAUACAAUUUUCUCUGCUUUAUACAAUUAGAAACAAUUUUUAUACACUUGUGUUUGUAUAAAAAGUGAGGAAGCGAGCGAGAGAUUUGAAGGAGAGUGGCGAGCGAGAUAUUUGGGAGAGAGGCGUCUGUCAAUAUUUUGCAAUCGUUUGCUAUGGAGCACAAUUAAAUUAAACACUAGCUACUCCAUUUAUUUUAGAUUAUUAAUUUGCUAUUAUAUAUAAUUUUCCCAAAUUUUAUUGGGUCUGGUCUAAUAAGAAUAGGUUAGAGUUUGAAUUAUAAAUUGGGUCAAAUUAAUGAUUUAUAUUUUAGUGGAUAUCCUAAUUGGCAAGUUUAGGUGACGAAAAGUGUUACGUGAUUUGUCAUAUCACUGUUGUUAAUUCUCGAAAGUAUUUGUAGUCUUUUAGUAUAACAAUUGUGGUAUUUCUUAUUUUUUAAUGUAUUAGAGGAUAUAAAUGGCCUAUUUUGCACAGGAGUGGUUUAAGUGUAUUAGUGGCCUAAAAUCAAAAUCAAAUGGGGCCUUAAACUUAAAUAGUUAAUAACUUUUAUAUAAUUUAUUUCUUCAAGUUUUCAUCUCAUAGUAUAACGAUUCUUAAUUUAAAUUAUUUUUCAUAAGAUAUUGUGCUCAAAAUAUGUCAAAUUUCUUCUAAUAAAAAAUCAUUUUUCAUGAAAUAUUUACUUUUUCUACAAAUAAUAUUCAAUAUUUAUUUAAAAAAAAUAACUUAUAGCCUAUUAUUAAUUUAUUAUAAAAAGUAAGGCCCCUUAAAUUUGGGGACCUAAGCACAUGUCUUUUUUUUUUAACACAGCCACCUGCUUACAAAUAAUUGGGAGCAAUUAUUUUUGAUUGGUUACAAUUAUGACUUCUUUGCUAUAAAUAGGGGUGUUGGUUGAGUAAUAUUGUAUAAUAAGUUGUGUGAAAUAAUAAAGGUGUGUUACUCUCUUGUUCUUUUGAAAAACAAGUCAAUUACAUAUAAUUUGGUUGGAGGAGAAAUAAUGGAGCUGUACAAGACCCUUAGGACUACUAUCAAAUAAUGAUGCUGAAUUUAUGAAGAUUAAGCUCGAGUAUGAGAAACAGAAUGAGCAUGUUACAUGUUGAAGGCCUUUCUUAAUGCACUCACCAAAGCCCAUUAUUCUCAUCUUUUAAAUAAAGAAAAUUCGUAGCCCUCAUACUAUUUCUAUAUAUAUAUAUAUAUAUAUAAAUACAAACUUCAUAUAUUGAUGGAUUUAAAAAUAAUUUAUUGGGUAAAUUAUUUUUAUCUUAUUUAAUAUGCGGUCAUUGUAAUAAUUAAGAAAUUAAAUAUUAUCUAAGUUGAUUGUUGCAUCCUUUAUAUUCCGAUGAUUAUCAAGAAUCAUAUUAGUUUUCAUAUAUUUAUCUUUUUAUCUCCUUUUCUAUGGUAAUUAUUUUCUCGUUACUGAAUAUUCUAAAGUCUUACAAAUGAUCAAACCAUUUUUAUUAUGCAAAAUUUAUUAUUGUGUGAUUAAUUAGUAGUAGGAUUUUCAAUUAACAAAAUUAAAAUAUAAUGAGUAAAUACACGUAGAAGUCAAAUGAAGCUCAACAUCUACUCUAUAUAUAAAAAUAAUUUUAUCCACACAUAAAUAAUAUAAUUUUAUACCGAAUAAAAAUUUAAAUGAACUCCCUCGAAUUUACAUGGCGCCAUUUGAUAAUACAAAAAAUUUAAAAAAUAAGAGAAGAUUUUAUUACCGAUCAAGUAGUCCUUAUUAAAGUUACUUUUGUGUUUACUUUUUAUUGACUUCUUCACAAUACCUACUAUAAAAAUAAAAUUGGAUUGAUAUCAUUAAAUAGAUGUCAAACACUCCUUCUAUUUUAUAUUAAUUGAAUUUAUGAGACAAUGCUUAUCCAUUAAGAAAAAUAUUCAAAGACAUUUUGAUAACUAAAGCCCAAGAAACACAAUCCCUCCUCGACAUUUUGCUCAAACUCCCACAUUUCCCUUACAUAUCAAUCACUGUACCAUGUAAUUGCUUGCCCAAUUCAACCCCACCAUAACCACAACAAAUCUUCAAGACCACCGGAAACAAGAAAAAUUCCAACUCCACAAACCGCACCUGCCUAAAACUUCUUCAAAAAGCUCAUUACUCAAAUAAACAUUAAUAAUAGCGUUCCACGAAUACAAAUUUCUGUCACGCAUUUUCUCAAACAGUUGAACUGCAUCAUCAAAACAAUCACAUUUCCUGUACAUCUCAAGCAACUUAGUCUCAACAAACUCGUAGUGCUUCUGCGUGGACUUGUUUACCUAGGUUGGGGCAUUUGCAGGAAUCAAGAACUGAAGCAUAGGUGCUUCAACUUAUAAAGUCAUCCAAUUGAGAGAAAUAUAGGUGGGUUAAAUGAUAAAUGGGUCGGGUUUAAUUUGGUUAAUCUAAUUAAAUAGGGUUAUUUUUGUUUGAUUUAGGAUUUUCCAUUCAAUUGAGGUCUAUGUGAAAAGUUUGUAGACGACAAGGAUAAAAAUAAUUUCAUUUUAACAGCAAUGGUAUAUUUAACUAAUAAAAUAAAGUCGAGAGAUAUUUUUAACUCUUUUCCCUAUCUUAAAUUUUGAAUAAUUCAGCUGAGAAACACAAAAAAAAUUCAAAUCUUGAUGCUUACAAGUGGCUCAGAUAUAUGAUAAGUAGCUCAAAUACAUUAAAUAAUGGCUCAGAUACAUUAGUAUGUAGCCCCAAUACAUUAAAAAUUAACCCAAAUACAUAAUAUGUAGCUCGUAUACAUUAAAUACUGGCUCGACAACAUUCAAUAUUUUUUUAAAAGCCCAUGAUAUGUUACGAACAAACCUUAAUAUUUCACAAACUUUAUUUUGAGGCUUCACAUCCAAUGUUUAUUAAAUUUUGAGAGAAGGUUACAAACCAAUUUUUCAUUAAUAAGAUAUGAAGGGAACAAAUUAGCAAGUUGAAGAAGAAAGCAAAAACAACACUAAUAUACAUUUCUUUUCUCUAGUAGCUUGUCACGUUGUUAUGCAUUUCCCCAUUCUCUACAGUUCUACUUAACCCUUUGAUAUCAUUGAUGAGACAGUCGAGGUUACUAUACGAUAAACCUCCUUCUUCAACACUUAAUUUUGCAAGUUCUGAUAAUUUCUCAACUGAUUUCGUGUACUCAUCCUUUUUUGUUUCCAUAAGAUCUUUUACCAGUUUCUCUACGACGAAUCUAUCACAAAUAUCUUUCAUGUCUAACCCUAUCUUCCAAAAUUCAUUUACUAGUCUACUUGUAACUCUUUGGUCCACAUAUUGAGGCCAACAUAUCAUGGGCUUUCCCUCGAUGAUACUUUCCAGUGUCGAGUUCCAUCCACUAUGGGUUAAAAACCCACCAACCGAUGGAUGGGCUAGUACCAUCUCCUGUGGAGCCCAACUCACAAUGUAACCAAUUCCUUUGCAACCCUCAACAAGUUCCUUCAUAAAUUGAUCAUGUGAUGCAUCUCCCUUCAACAUGUUAGGCCUCAUUACCCACAAAAAUUUAACUUUACUAUUCAUUAGUCCAUGCCAAAAUUCCAUGAUCUCAUCUCUUGAAACAACAACAAGGCUUCCAAAACUUACAUAGAUUACAGAUCCCUUGGAUUGCGCAUCGAGCCAUUUAAUGGAAGUAUGGUCUUCUUCCCACAUGCUAUUUGAGGAUGACAAUAGUGGAGUAGCUUUAGCAGCAAGUCUAGUCUUCAAGUUCAAUGGCAAUGGUCCAAUUGCAUAUGUUUUAGGAAAGUAAGAACGAAUAUUAUAAAGAAAAGGCCCAUCUAACUCUUCAAACGAAUUUAAUAUGAGUCCAUGGGCUUUUGGGAUACGCUCAAUUUCCUUAAAAACAGCUUGAGAAUUUUGAUCGAUUUUAUAAUCUAAAAGACAAAAGUGUGGAAGAUCUCGUCGUCUAAGAAAACCUUCCAUGGCUGGUACAUGUGUUACCAAUGCAUCGAUGUCAUUUCCUACAACGAUAAAUAUGAAGUUAAAUUUAUAGUUGUGGUGUUCCAAAUUUCUAUUCCACUCUAUUUUUUCAAAGUUUGAUAAGGUUGUGCACAAUUUUAAAGAAAAAAUUAAUUAAAAAAUAUAUUUUAAUUAAUUUUUAAAUUUUAAUCUACUAACAUCCUCUUAAUUCCAGAAUAAUUAUCGAUAAAAAUAAAAGUUCAGAAAAUAAUUAUUUUUCUCGACAUCUAAAAAGGAGCAUGGAGUAUUUCUGAUUUUUCCUUUCUAAAAAGGAGCAUGGAGUAUUUUGUCGAUAUCUAAAAUAAUGCCCCUACUUGGGCGCAUGCCAAACUGGGGAAGGUGGAAAGCUAAAUUAAUAAAGAAAUCAUCAUUAUUCCUCUGCUUAUUAUUUUGAAGAACGAACGUGAGUUAGUUCCGUUCAAUAAUAGUUGUUCACUAUUCACGUGGUAUAUCCUUAAAAAUAAAAAUAGAAGUGUAAAUUUUAUUAUAGUAUGUUUUAAAUAUAAUAAAUUAGUGUCUUGAAAAUGUAAAAGAGAAAUGACUAUAAUUAAUGAUAAGAAUAAAUUAUUAAAUAAGUGUAAAAUUAUUUAUGAAUUUCAUAAAGUGAACAAAUAUUGUUAGACAUUUUUUUUUAAUAGGUGGAAUGACCUGAUACACCCUCGUACUUGGCUUCGUUUGUAAGUUGGACCAUUGUAUUUCUGAUUUUGCCAAUUGAACCCUUAAACUCAUUCAAACACAAUAUUUCAAACCUCUUUCUUAUCAUUUGUGUGUCAGUGUAAUACACUCAAUUUACACAUGAAAUUCUACGUUAUUUUUUAAUGACCCAUCAGUAUCAUUAUUAUUUUUUAAUGACACAUCAGAAAUUAAAUAUUUAAAAAUAAAUAAUAUUUUUUAAAAAGGUGCAAUUUUUUCUCUUUCUAUACUCAUUUCCCAUAUUCUCACUUCAUCUUCUUCCUCCCCACCCUCUACCCUUCACCCCAAAGAAUAAAAAUCACCAUUUUCGUCUUCCUCACACAAAAUUUUUCUUAUUGACAAAAUGCGAAAGAUUAUAGUUAGCUCUUACACAUACUUUCAGUUCUAUUUUAUUUAUAUUUGAUAAAAAAAUAUAUCAAGAAAUCUUCAAAUUGAAAAAAAUAUAUGUUUAUAAGUAAAUUCAAGCAAUAGAUCUUGAAAAAUUAAGUUUUAAAAUGGUGAAUGAGAUGUAUUUUAACAAAAGUUUUUUAUUAUAAGUAUGUUAAUGGUGUAGAUAUCAAAAGAGAAGAAAAGAAAAUGGAUAAGGGCAGGGGGGGAUCUCGGGCUGAAAAAGAAGAGGAAAAAGGUGGGACUGUAAGAAGAGAGAAGGGAUUGUGGUGGCGAUAGAUUGAUUGGGUUGAAGAAGUAGUUUUUGAUUAUUUUUUGUAAAAGUGAUGCAGGGAAGAAGAUAGAUUCUUUUCUUCUUUUUUUUUAAAGUUUUUUUAUUAUAUGAAUUUAAUAAUUUAAAAUUUAAAAAAUGAUGCUCACUCGCCUUAAAUGCGUGUUGUCACACUCUCUUGCCAAGUCAGCUAUUAUAAUGUCACAUAAGCAUGGUCAAUAGUCAGAGGGAUUUAAUAUAUUGUGUUUUAUUUAGUUUAGUCUAUCAGACUAUUACACCUUUUUAAUAUAGUAGACAAAUAUUAUUAAACGAAGAAAGUAUAUUUUUUAAUUUUUUACGUUAUUAUUUCUUAAAAAUAAAAUAAGAAGAAUAAUGUUAUUUAUGUAUUAGUUAAGAAACACAUAUUUUAAACAAGUACAAGAUGUAAAUAGAAAGAGAGAAAAUACAAUCAAGGCAUUGUCAAUAAGGAGACAAAAUGAUUUAAAAAUACCUUUGAAGGGAAGAACUCCAGCCUCAAUUAGUUUGGGGAGAGAAAGAUAAAUCCAAAAGCAGGAAGGACUAAUAGUGUCAAAUAUAACAACUGGAACUCCCAUCUCAUUUCCAAUAUCCACACCAUAAUAAAACAGUCCAUCAAGUAUAACACAUGUGAUCGGCUCCUUAACAAGGCCACUAAGCAUUUGUUUAAGAUAAGGCUCAGCCAUGGUCUGCAAGGAGCUGAUAAUGUCUCCGAAUUGUUCGCCUGAUCGCGGGUUGUCCUCAGGGAGGCCAUCGGAUAUCGUAAGGAAUUGGAAUCCAGUAUAUUGUUUGAAACGAGAUUCGACAUUUGAGUUAGCAACGAGACGUUGUUGAUUGUGAUUUGUGUUGAGAAAACUGACUCUAAGCCCAGCAAGACAUAAGAGCUCAGCUAAUUGUAGAUUGGAGUUUAUUGUGCUUUGUAAAGGGAGAGGAAAGAUGAGAACAUGAGGAGUAAUGGAUGUCUCUGCCAUGCCUAUUGUGAGAGUAGGUGAAAUUAAUUUCCCUUUCCCACCUUCUUUCUCCUCAUUAUAUAUAUAUAUAUUUUGGUAAAUACUACUCUCUUGAUAGGGACUUAAAAGAAAUUUCAAUUAACUCACACAAUACUAUUUUCUUUUUAAAUAAAGAGGGUCAUAUAUAUAUUUCUUAAAUGAAGAGACCUUAUUUAAUUUUUUUGUGGAGCUCAUUCCAGCUUGUGUGAACAAAUAAAACAAUCUAUUAAUAUCGAGAUUUGAUCCAUAUUAGCAAUUUUUUAAAUUAGCAUUUUCGAGAAAUUAGAGCCAUAUAAAGUAGGGAAGUAUCUCAAAUCAGGGAGUCAAUUCCCUUAUUGAUAUUACCUUAAAAUAUUAUUAUAUAUGUUUUAUUUAGGACCAAAAUAUCACUCAAUUAUUAUUAUUUUUAUUCAAAAUAUACCUAACACUCUAAAAGUUUCACUCUCUCCUAGUUGACAUGAUAUGACAUUAAAUUCUUUUUUUUUAAAAAAAUUAGGUUAAUUUAUUUCAUUAAACUCAUUUAACUAAAAUAAUGUGUCACGACCCAAAUCGGGGCCGCGACUGGCACCCACACUUUCCCUCCUAUGUGAGCGAACCAACCAAUCUAAACCUUAACAUUUCAAUAUAAUAUCAACAGAAAGUAAUGCGGAAGACUUAAACUCAUUUAAUAAAACCAAUUCAUUAACUAUUAUUCCCCAAAAUCUGGAAGUCAUCAUCACAAGAACAUCUAUGAUCAAAGUACUAAACUAAGAGUAUUCUAAAAGCUAAAACAAGUAAAAGCUAGUCCAUGCCGGAACUUCAAGGCAUCAAGACAUGAAGAAGUAGAUCCAGUCCAAGCUAGAAACAUUAGCUCACCCUGAAGAUUCGAUGUAGUGAAGACUGGCUAGAGUUGCGAUUGAGUUGAAGACGAUGGCACGUUUGCUGCACUCCACAAAUAACAAAGAAGAAAACAUAAAAGUAGGGGGUCAGUACAAACACAAGUACUGAGUAGGUAUCAUCGGCCCACUCAAAAUAGAAAACAGUAUAUAUCAAAUAAUAUCAUAAAAUCAACUAAUAUCCUUAGCAUGCAGCAUUUACAAUUACCAUAACCCUUGGUUACAACACCAAGCUCAUCAAUGAGGACUCACACCUCCUCAUCAUACUCAUUUGGGAAUCAGGUUCAUUAGAUUGAAUAUAUUAACAUCUUUCAAGAUUCGUUAUCUUUAUUC
This 13289-nucleotide long non-coding RNA is filed under the name Solanum lycopersicum (tomato). Its description in RNAcentral is "long non-coding RNA (SLYC_LNC001341)". Lineage: Eukaryota; Viridiplantae; Streptophyta; Magnoliopsida; Solanales; Solanaceae. The record is from RNAcentral.